This 81-nucleotide microRNA precursor is filed under the name Nannospalax galili (Upper Galilee mountains blind mole rat). Its description in RNAcentral is "microRNA 876 (ENSNGAG00000006634.1)". It matches the Rfam family "mir-876 microRNA precursor family". Lineage: Eukaryota; Metazoa; Chordata; Mammalia; Rodentia; Spalacidae. The record is from Rfam by way of RNAcentral.
UGAAGUGCUGUGGAUUUCUUUGUGAAUCACCAUAUUUCAGUUAAUGUGGUGGUGGUUUACAAAGUAAUUCAUAAUGCUUCA